This 847-nucleotide ribosomal RNA is filed under the name Pleurocera pyrenella. Its description in RNAcentral is "partial 16S ribosomal RNA". It matches the Rfam family "Bacterial large subunit ribosomal RNA", at positions 1412 to 2560 of the family's 2925-position model. Lineage: Eukaryota; Metazoa; Mollusca; Gastropoda; Pleuroceridae. The record is from RNAcentral.
GUGUCGAUAAGAAAAUAAUUAUAAAAUAUUAAUUAUUUUAUAAAAUAUUUCUUCAUUAAUUUUUCUGAGGAUAAGCUCGGAAAAGAGUUAAGAUAUUUUACUGAUUUAGGUUGUUAUGUAGGCUUAAAAUUGGCCAUCAUAAGAGUUUGUUAUAAAACAAUAAUCCUAAUAUUUAAAAUAAAUAUAUUUUAUUCUAAUUUUUUACAGAAAUAAGAACUAUAAUUAAUAAAUGUUUUGUGCCUAUGCUAGGAUGAGUAUUAAAAUUUUGUAUAUAUUAAGAAAGUUUUAUAUAUUUUUCUUCAAAAAAGAUAUUAAUCAAACCAAACUGGUUUGAAGGAACUCGGCAAAUUUAAUGCUUUCGCCUGUUUAUCAAAAACAUGGCUCUUUGCAUUUAUCUUAUAAAGAGUCAGGCCUGCCCAGUGAAUAAUAUUUAACGGCCGCGGUACUCUGACCGUGCAAAGGUAGCAUAAUCAUUUGCCUUAUAAUUGAAGGCUAGUAUGAAUGGUUUAACGAAAGCAAUACUGUCUCCUUUCUACUUUCAAGAACUUAACCUUUAGGUGAAGAGGCCCAAAUUUAAUUGAAGGACAAGAAGACCCUGUCGAGCUUAAAAGAUAUUAUAGAAGUUUAUAUAUUUUUAGAUAAAAAGACUAUUGAGCUUUUUAGUUGGGGCGACUAAGGAACAAAAAAAGCUUCUUAUAAUAAAUGAACAACCUGGUUUUGAUCCGAUAAUAAUCGAUUAAAGGAAUUAGUUACCGCAGGGAUAACAGCAUAAUCUCUCUUGAGAGACCUAAUCGAAAGAGGGGGUUGUGACCUCGAUGUUGGACUAGAAUAUCCUAAAGAUGCAGAA